Non-coding RNA from Cinara cedri, 270 nucleotides. The record is from the annotation of a GenBank genome assembly. NCBI's taxonomy places the organism in Eukaryota, Metazoa, Arthropoda, Insecta, Hemiptera, Aphididae.
CAAAGAAAUUUAACAAAAAUAUUUGUUGACGACGACGUCACUCGGCUAAUGACGUCGUUUUUCCCAUUAAAUUACGUGCAUUUUCCGUUCGGCGGUACUUUGUAUGGCAUUUUUUGCAUUCUGUGUGUUUUUAUUUUUCAAACGCUCUUUGGCGUUUAACUACGCUCUGGUUUUUACACGGAAUACUUAAAAAGUAUUUGUGCACAUAUUCGACGGUUCGUUCAGUCAAUGCGGGCUCAGAUGUGUUCCGGACCCAGACCGAUAAGCGGU